ACUCUGACCAGCCAUGCCGCGUGCAGGAAGACGGCCCUAUGGGUUGUAAACUGCUUUUAUACAGGAAGAAACACUCCCUCGUGAGGGAGCUUGACGGUACUGUAAGAAUAAGCACCGGCUAACUCCGUGCCAGCAGCCGCGGUAAUACGGAGGGUGCAAGCGUUAUCCGGAAUCAUUGGGUUUAAAGGGUCCGCAGGCGGUCAAUUAAGUCAGAGGUGAAAUCCCAUAGCUUAACUAUGGAACUGCCUUUGAUACUGGUUGACUUGAGUUAUACGGAAGUAGAUAGAAUGUGUAGUGUAGCGGUGAAAUGCAUAGAGAUUACACAGAAUACCGU
This 334-nucleotide ribosomal RNA is filed under the name uncultured prokaryote. RNAcentral's name for it is "bacterial SSU rRNA". It matches the Rfam family "Bacterial small subunit ribosomal RNA", at positions 380 to 712 of the family's 1533-position model. The record is from RNAcentral.